Molecule: ribosomal RNA, 478 nt
Filed under: uncultured bacterium
Lineage: Bacteria
Description: partial 16S ribosomal RNA
Rfam family: Bacterial small subunit ribosomal RNA
Source: RNAcentral
GACGAACGCUGGCGGCGUGCUUAACACAUGCAAGUCGAACGGUAAGGCCCUUCGGGGUACACGAGUGGCGAACGGGUGAGUAACACGUGGGUGAUCUGCCCUGUACUUCGGGAUAAGCCUGGGAAACUGGGUCUAAUACCGGAUAGGACUCCUGCCUGCAUGGGUGGGGGUGGAAAGCUUUUGCGGUGUGGGAUGGGCCCGCGGCCUAUCAGCUUGUUGGUGGGGUGAUGGCCUACCCAGGCGACGACGGGUAGCCGGCCUGAUAGGGUGACCGGCCAAACUGGGACUGAGAUACGGCCCAGACUGCUACGGGAGGCAGCAGUGGGGAAUAGUGCACAAUGGGCGCAAGCCUGAUGCAGCGACGCCGCGUGAGGGAUGACGGCCUUCGGGUUGUAAACCUCUUUCAGCACAGACGAAGCGCAAGUGACGGUAUGUGCAGAAGAAGGACCGGCCAACUACGUGCCAGCCGCCGCCGUAA